UCUCCGUUGGUGAACCAGCGGAGGGAUCAUUACAGAGUUGCAAAACUCCCCAAACCAUUGUGAACCUUACCUUCAACCGUUGCUUCGGCGGGCGGGCCACAGCGCCCCCCGGGCCCCCCCAGCGGGGCGCCCGCCGGAGGAUACCCAAACUCUUGAUACUUUAUGGCCUCUCUGAGUCUUCUGUACUGAAUAAGUCAAAACUUUCAACAACGGAUCUCUUGGUUCUG
This 227-nucleotide unclassified non-coding RNA is filed under the name soil metagenome. RNAcentral's name for it is "partial contains small subunit ribosomal RNA, internal transcribed spacer 1, and 5.8S ribosomal RNA". The record is from RNAcentral.